Molecule: long non-coding RNA, 449 nt
Organism: Rhagoletis pomonella (apple maggot)
Lineage: Eukaryota; Metazoa; Arthropoda; Insecta; Diptera; Tephritidae
Exons: 3
Source: RefSeq, a predicted model, not a curated record
UUAAGUUUAUAUUGAAAACUAUUUGCAAAUACCUAACUUACUACCUGCUAGCCACGGCUCACCACUUUCCCUUAAAAUUCAAACGAUUUACAAACACAUUCACAACUUUUUAGUCAUCUCACCCACACACUUACAAAUUUUUUGUUCGAACUGUCAAAAAAAUGUCCCUUUGUUAGAGCUACAUAUCCUAUAAGAAUUCGUACUCUAAUAAGAAAUCUAUGCGUGACCAAGUUAGAAAAAUCGGAGUUUUCAUGACAGUAUACAUACUGUGAAGAAAUGUCACUUUGCGGAAAUUUUGAAGAUUGCAAAACAGCAGCGACUUAGUCACAUUCUUAAGACUUGGGAUUCACCAUCAGUACCUUCAACGCUUGCAUCUUCAUCGCCAGGAGCACCAUUAGAACCUUCUGCCCUCAGCUUCUUCAUCGCCAGGAGCACCACCAGUACCUUCU